GCCUUUCGGAGCUGUGCGGCAUUCUGAGCAGGAAUGGCAGUGUGGACCUCUGUGAUGGGACAUCUUGUGGGAUCUCACAGCCAGUUCUGUGGCAAAGGAGGAUGAAGGCUUACGAGGACUCGUCAGGAAGCUGGAUAACAGAGCGAGCGCAAUGUACAAAUAAUGGUUUGAAUAAAGAAAGGUAUUAAUGGGUCACCUCAAGUGAAGGCACUGCAAACACAAUGAUUGGUCAUUCUGAAUUUCCGGUCCUUCAUUCUGAAUUUCAAAGGCUCCUGUGACAAGUGGACAUGCAGUGACUGCACCUUUGUUUCUGAGGUGCCUGGAUGGAGGCUCAAAUAGAAGAUGGUGUCAGAUAUAUUGUGUUAAAAUUUUACCAUUAAAGUGUAUUAUAACAUGAA
Molecule: long non-coding RNA, 398 nt
Filed under: Mus musculus (house mouse)
Lineage: Eukaryota; Metazoa; Chordata; Mammalia; Rodentia; Muridae
Description: growth arrest specific 5
Source: RNAcentral